Molecule: transfer RNA, 85 nt
Filed under: Marinoscillum luteum
Lineage: Bacteria; Pseudomonadati; Bacteroidota; Cytophagia; Cytophagales; Reichenbachiellaceae
Also listed under: 7 other names
Description: tRNA-Leu
Rfam family: tRNA
About the family: Transfer RNA (tRNA) molecules are approximately 80 nucleotides in length.
Source: RNAcentral
GCGGAUGUGGCGAAAUUGGUAGACGCACUAGACUUAGGAUCUAGCGCCGCGAGGCAUGGGGGUUCGAGUCCCUCCAUCCGCACCA